GACGAACGCUGGCGGCGUGCCUAAUACAUGCAAGUAGAACGCUGAAGGAGGAGCUUGCUUCUCUGGAUGAGUUGCGAACGGGUGAGUAACGCGUAGGUAACCUGCCUGGUAGCGGGGGAUAACUAUUGGAAACGAUAGCUAAUACCGCAUAAGAGUAGAUGUUGCAUGACAUUUGCUUAAAAGGUGCAAUUGCAUCACUACCAGAUGGACCUGCGUUGUAUUAGCUAGUUGGUGGGGUAACGGCUCACCAAGGCGACGAUACAUAGCCGACCUGAGAGGGUGAUCGGCCACACUGGGACUGAGACACGGCCCAGACUCCUACGGGAGGCAGCAGUAGGGAAUCUUCGGCAAUGGACGGAAGUCUGACCGAGCAACGCCGCGUGAGUGAAGAAGGUUUUCGGAUCGUAAAGCUCUGUUGUAAGAGAAGAACGAGUGUGAGAGUGGAAAGUUCACACUGUGACGGUAUCUUACCAGAAAGGGACGGCUAACUACGUGCCAGCAGCCGCGGGUAAUACGUAGGUGGCAAGCGUUAUCCGGAUUUAUUGGGCGUAAAGAGAGUGCAGGCGGUUUUCUAAGUCUGAUGUGAAAAGCCUUCGGCUUAACCGGGAGAAGUGCAUCGGAAACUGGAUAACUUAAGUGCAGAAGAGGGUAGUGGAACUCCAUGUGUAGGGGGUGGAAUGCGUAGAUAUAAAGAAAAAACACCAUAGCGAAGGCAGCUACCUGAUCUGCUCUGGGCUUAGACUCGUAAGGUGGGGGGCGAAGGGAAGUAAAUAUGGGGAUAUUCCAGGGGGAGUACGAACAGGAUAUCGGCCCAGCGAGACCCGCACCCCCAGGGGGGGCUGGGGGGGGGGGUGUGCCGGAGCCCGCCUUUUUUUCCGCACGCCCACUUAAUCCGUAAUUUGGGGAGACGGGAAGACAACG
This 921-nucleotide ribosomal RNA is filed under the name uncultured Streptococcus sp. Its description in RNAcentral is "partial 16S ribosomal RNA". It matches the Rfam family "Bacterial small subunit ribosomal RNA", at positions 28 to 835 of the family's 1533-position model. The record is from RNAcentral. Lineage: Bacteria; Bacillati; Bacillota; Bacilli; Lactobacillales; Streptococcaceae.